UGCAAUUCGUGCUCCAUGCCCAACCAGACAUAAAUCCCACUUCAUGCGAUUCUGUGGAGGUCAAAACGAGCAAGACUUAAUUGACGUGGAUAGCUCCAAAACUACAAAACCUUCAGCCGAGAGAGAUUAGAAUUGCCACCUGCCAAUACAAUGCCCUGCUGAUGCUUCACCUUUGAAGUUAUCCACCUUGGAGAAUUUCAUCACCAGUUCAUAAUUUUUCAGCUGGGUCAAGGGGCUAUAUUUUCCUUUAAUUAUUCUUGCCAUGGCAUUAUCUUUCUCCCCCAAUUUUACUCGCCACUAUCAUUCCCUCUUUCCCAGUUUCAAAUCCUUAAAAAACAGAAAAACAGUUGUGGCGCGAAAUUCCAACGGUAAUGUCCCCUCCUCCAAUGGUACCGUCCUUCUCAAAGAUAAGCCAUUAAUUCCAGGGAAGCCAGAGGCUGAUGUGGUUGUGAUUGGGAGUGGUAUUGGUGGGUUGUGUUGUGGUGGGCUUCUGGCUAGAUACCAGCAGGAUGUUCUUGUAUUAGAAAGUCAUGAUCAACCUGGGGGUGCUGCUCACACUUUUGAGAUAAAAGGCUAUAGGUUUGAUUCUGGUCCCUCCUUGUUCUCUGGUUUUCAAUCAAGGGGUCCUCAGGCCAAUCCUCUUGCACAAGUCCUAGAUGCAUUGGGUGAGUCAAUUCCAUGUGUGAACUAUGAUUCUUGGAUGGUGUAUGUGCCUGAAGGUGAAUUCUUGUCGCGGAUUGGGCCCACAGAAUUUUACAAGGACCUUGAGACAUAUGCAGGCCCCAAUGCAGUGCAAGAGUGGAAAAAACUUCUUGAUGCAAUACUUCCACUGUCAUCAGCUGCAAUGGCUCUGCCUCCUUUAUCCAUCCGAGGUGAUCUUGGCGUUAUCUCUACUGCAGCAGCUAGAUAUGCCCCUUCCUUGUUGAAAUCUUUUGCUCAGAUGGGACCUCAGGGAGCUUUUGGUGCUACAAAGCUUCUUAGGCCCUUCUCUGAAAUUGUUGACUCAUUGGAGCUAAAAGAUCCUUUUAUAAGGAACUGGGUGGACCUCUUGGCAUUUCUUCUUGCAGGGGUGAAAUCUAAUGGUAUACUUUCAGCAGAGAUGGUAACUAUGGCUUAUUUAAGUUUUAAGAUUCUCUGAAAGAUGUUCUUGUAUAAAUAUAUUUCUAAAUUGCACAAACAACCCAAAAGAAAAAAAAAAAAAAAUCACAGAGACUGUAUCACAGGCCAAAAUAUCAUAGCUAACCUCAUCAAUCAAGUUAACUUUCAAUCUCCUUCUCCCUCAGAUCUCAAAGCUUGAUAUAUACAUAGAUCUCUCUCACUCGGAUCUUUACGUUCACUUCAUUGACAAACUGUAUCACUCUAAGUUUAAUGGAGAGGUUCUUUUGAUCUGUGCUUCUAAGGAGGAGAUCUGGUUAGAUUUUGAAUCUAUAGAGUUUUGGUGGUUUAAUCUUCAUAAGCUGGCUGUGAAUCUAUAUAGGUUUUUGAUUGUUUGGUUUAUGCUUGAUUUGGAUUUGUCAUGGAGAAGAUUUAGAAGCUAGAGUGAGAUUUUGCUGCACAAUCUAACCUGAAGGUGUGAGUUUUAGCUGCUAUAGUGAAAUUUAAUCCUAGGAUUUACCUAACUCGAACUUGCAAUGGAGACGCUUGUUGCUGUAGCCCAGCACAGGAAUCAGUACUAUAGCAGAGUCAAGGCUUAUAAGCAAGCUCGACUAGGGUCUUCCCCUUCUAGGCACUUCAGAGGGAUCAAUUGCCGGACUUUCCAAUCUGGGUCACGAGUACUGCCAACCUCCUUCAAUACUUGCGGCACUACUGUCACCAAAGGCACUCUUUCUACCCCUACUUCGUCCUCUCAGAAAACACCAUCACCAACUAUCAAGGCCCCCUCGAAGUCUCACACUGUUGAUAAUACACACUUUAAGGCUGCUCCAAAAAGCUCUCCAAUUCCGAUAAAUAUCCCUUCAAGGGAGACGCCAUUUAAUGAUGAGCUGGUUGUCUCGAGUGAGAAUUUGCCAUUCGGAGAGCUCUGGGCUGGACCUGCUUACUCAAAUUCGCCACCGGCCAGUUCCCUUCCAAUUCCAAAGUUUUCAAUGAGGCCAAAACGAACCGUAUCGCUUGAGUUGCCGGUCUCUAAUUCUGGUAUCAAAGUGCAUCCGAUUGCCAAGUCCGCCCCUGCUUCCCCCAAAAGGGAAUAUAGCCCAUUCGCUAAAGACCUGUUUCUAAGCGUUGAUUCUGCGACUAAGACUCUGCGUCGCAUUCUUAAUCUUGAUGUGGCGGAUGAUUGAAGAUUGGCGGCUUAUGCUUCUGUAAAUAUUUUUAGUGUUAGACUGUAUAUAAAGGGAAUAAAUUGUUAGUAGUAUGUAUCCGUUGAAGUUAAACUGUUAGCUUUUGCUUAUGGUGGUGGUGAUCGUCGUACAAGUGAAAGAUGUGGCUUUGAUUGGCGAUGAUCUCCAUGUCCAGAAUUAAUAAGUUGAUGUGUGAUGUGGAUUAGUGUUUCAGUGAUUGGGUUUCUUAGCAAGUUAGGCAAGUUAAGUGCAGUUAAGAUGGGGCAAGUUACUUGUAGCUUGGGAAGUGUAACAUGGAUCAUGGAUGGAAUCUGACUAUAAUACCUUCAGGAAGCAGGAGGGAACCGUGAAUUAGGUGACUUCAUUGGCAAUUGAAUGGAACAACUUACUGCUACAAGGAAACUACAUCUUUGUUAUGAUGUAUGGUCUUCAAUAUAAUCUCCUCGUAUAAAUUUUCGUUGCCGAGUGAAAUUUAGGCCUAUAGUAUCAGGUACACUGUAUAUACGGUUAAAUCUUAAUUAGAUUAGUCUUACUCCAAUCUCGUAGGCUUAUGUCUUUUUUUGUAGAAUGAUCUUUAUUUCAUCCAAGUCGUCGUCUUUCUUGAUUUUCUAGUUUCUGACGUAGCUUAGUGUGCUGGCUUCCUAAUUUAGUAUUACUUCCAUUAGCAUCUUGAACAGUUACUUGUAACUGCUUUACUUGGUUCUUUGUUGCCUGCGUUGAUUUCUCAACAAUCAAAACCUCCUCAUAUACAUACCAUUUCUUUCUUUGUUUCUUUUAGAUAGGUCUAACUCCCUGCAUACACUCUGCAUGGGUGUUGUUUCCUCCUCGCCAUCUUUUCUGUUUUUUUUUUAGAGGGAAAGUGGCAAGUGAAAGUGAAAUUAGUUGUUAUCGCAUCUGCUUUUUGGGUUUGUAAAGUCAAUCCAAUCCGUGUUGCUUCUUCGAGUUGUAACUUGUAAGCCUAUUAGUUUCUUGUUCUUUUGAGCGGAUAACAGAGUGUACUCUUGGUCUUCAUAGAGCUUGUCUUUUUAGGAGACUGUUGUCGUACCAAGCUAAUUGCGAGGUAAUUUUUUCCACUUCUUAUUUUUUUUAAACUGCAAUUAAGUUUUUUUAUUUUUUUCUCCUUGUUCUGGGGGUGUCAAGCUAUCAUUACUGACGCUUGCUAAACAUGUGUUACAGGCCACAGGUGUGGAAGAUUCCAGGAGGCUGCUUUUGUAGUAGAUGUUCUUUCUUCAUAGCGUAAUAGUUUCUUAAAGCAAGUUUUAUGAGGAUCCAUUUUCAGUUUUUAUUGUCGCUCAUGGAAAUACAAGCUAAUUUCUGUCUGGCUGUUUUGUCUUGUGUACCAGUAGUGGUUUAAUUAGUCUGAUGUUGGAUGAUUUGUGUUUGUGUUGAGACUGCAAUACUAGUUUAAUUACUCCAUCCUCUUUGUUUAAG
This 3710-nucleotide unclassified non-coding RNA is filed under the name Hevea brasiliensis (rubber tree). Lineage: Eukaryota; Viridiplantae; Streptophyta; Magnoliopsida; Malpighiales; Euphorbiaceae. The record is from RNAcentral.